This 419-nucleotide ribosomal RNA is filed under the name uncultured bacterium. Its description in RNAcentral is "bacterial SSU rRNA". It matches the Rfam family "Bacterial small subunit ribosomal RNA", at positions 356 to 773 of the family's 1533-position model. The record is from RNAcentral.
AGGGAAUAUUGGACAAUGGUUGCAAGACUGAUCCAGCCAUGCCGCGUGCAGGAAGAAGGCCUUCUGGGUCGUAAACUGCUUUUCUCUGGGGAUAAAAAGCCCGUGCGCGGGAAAUCGAAGGUACCAGAGGAAUAAGCCACGGCUAACUACGUGCCAGCAGCCGCGGUAAUACGUAGGUGGCAAGCGUUGUCCGGAUUUAUUGGGUUUAAAGGGUGCGUAGGCGGCCCUGUAAGUCAGUGGUGAAAUACGGCAGCUCAACUGUCGAGGUGCCAUUGAUACUGCGGGGCUUGAGUGUUGAUGAGGUAGGCGGAAUUGACGGUGUAGCGGUGAAAUGCUUAGAUAUCGUCAAGAACACCGAUAGCGAAGGCAGCUUACCAAGCAAUAACUGACGCUGAGGCACGAAAGUGCGGGGAUCAAAC